RNAcentral lists this long non-coding RNA (975 nucleotides) under Rhinopithecus bieti (black snub-nosed monkey). RNAcentral's name for it is "lncRNA (ENSRBIG00000045170.1)". Lineage: Eukaryota; Metazoa; Chordata; Mammalia; Primates; Cercopithecidae. The record is from RNAcentral.
CCUCCCGCACCUUAGGCAGCCAGUGUUCCCAGUACUGCAGCCACAGCUGAGUGGAAAACUGUUUACCAGACUUUGAUGAUGUCCACAAAACAACCACAGCCCUGGGCAUGUUGGGUGCUCUUUGUAAAUUAACUCACAUAAUCCUCACGACCAACUUCUAAGGUGGGCACUGUUGCCUUCAUCUCACCACAUUGGACGGCACACUCACUGAGUUCCUAACCUCCUCUUCUCUAUUGGUUUAUUCUCAGGCCGGGAAAGAGGCAUAAACUUGGAGAACCCAAGACCCCAGCCCGGCGUGCAGCCCCAGCAGCCAGACCAGCCUUGGGCAACAGCGUGGCGUUCAGCUGUCUGCGUCUUCAGUGCUCCUAUUCCAUUGCAUCUGAGUGAGCGAUUUGGGAGAAACAACAGGCAAAUGAUGAAAUAUACAAAUCUUCACUGUGCAAUUUUGAUCAGUUGCUUCUCCUAUGCAACCCUCACCCCAACAGAGACACAGCCUCUCGUCGGAACGCUUCUGCACACCCUUCUCAGCAACCCCCACCCUCUGCCCCCCACUCCCCACCAGAGCAACCAACAUCCUGAUGUCUCCCGUCAGAGUGACCAGCAUCAUUUGGUGCAGCCCCCAGAGUCUCAUGACAACUAUCUUGUUCUGCUCAAGAGCCCUGUACGGUCCCCUCUUCUGUGGAUGGAAACUGAGGCACAGCAAUGACAGCAUCAACGAAGUCACCCAGCUCCUGGCCCAGCUGUGCUCUGCAGGAGCCUCCACUUGGGGGCAGAGGCCAAGCAACCCAGCACUUGGAAGCACAGCUCUGGAGCAGCAGCUGAGUUGCGCUGUGAGGAGGCGCCAGGCGGCUGUUUAUCCAUCGGCCGCUUGCAAGUGACGGGGCGGGUUUACCCUCCUUUUCUGCCCAUGAUUUGAGCUCUUGGCAAAUCAAAGGUUUAAAGAUAUCAGUUCUUGGAACCACAAAAUAAACACGG